GGAUGCCCAGUACAUUUGAAUUUCAGAUAAACAAGAAUAGUCCUUUAGUAUUAAGUAUGUUCCGUGCUAUUUGGGACAUACUUACACUAAAAACAUU
Molecule: microRNA precursor, 97 nt
Filed under: Vicugna pacos (alpaca)
Lineage: Eukaryota; Metazoa; Chordata; Mammalia; Artiodactyla; Camelidae
Description: miRNA (ENSVPAG00000016054.1)
Source: RNAcentral